Molecule: long non-coding RNA, 1769 nt
Filed under: Daucus carota (carrot)
Lineage: Eukaryota; Viridiplantae; Streptophyta; Magnoliopsida; Apiales; Apiaceae
Description: long non-coding RNA (DCAR_LNC004763)
Source: RNAcentral
UGUACUUUUGAUGGGAAAAUAGGUAUAUUUCCCUUCACUUUUGAUGAACCAGCAGCUAGAUCAAUUAAAAAUAGAGCUAGAGGUGUUAUUGAAGUUAAACCUAUUGAAAGUAUCACUAAAGUUGUGAUAAAACAAUGUCUAUUGGAAAAAAUCAUCCCAGCUAUUAAAGCUAAGUGGCCACUGGACUGCAAUAGACCUAUUGUUAUCCAACAAGAUAACGCAAGGCCUCAUAUAUGCAACACAGACUUGGAUUUCAUUGAGGUUGCAAAAUCUGAUGGAUUUAAUAUUACGUUAGCUAAUCAGCCGGCUAAUAGUCCGGACCUCAAUAUUAAUGAUUUAGGCUUCUUUAGAGUUAUUCAAGGGUUACAACAUGAAAAGGCGCCUACGACAGUGUGUGAGUUGGUUGGUGCAGUGCUUGAAGCGUACGAAGAAGUUAGUGAUUCUACUUUGAAUCAUGUAUGGCUAUCACUUAUGGGGUGUAUGACAGAGAUACUAAGGAAAGAUGGAAAUAAUAAUUAUAAGCUCCCACAUAUAGGAAAGGGAAAGUUGGAACGCCUCGGGCAACUACCUACAGUUUUGAAUGCUCUGCUGGAUGUAGUCCAGAAGGCACUGGAAAUGGCAACUGAAGUACCAAUGCUGUGAUUACCGACUGUUCAGACUUGUUUUUGACUACCAGACUUGUUUUUGACUACUCAGACUUGUUUUAAUCUUGUAAGCUUAACUAAACUACUGCACAGCUUCAAUUUUAAGUAUGCACAGGUUUGAUUUUAAGUAUGCACGUGUGUAUUUUAUAAUUAAUCAAGUAUCGCACAAGUAUUGUUAUGGUCAAAAUCUGAGUUCCUGGAGUUCGAUGUUUAGGCGAUAUGUUUGUAGCUAGGUUCAAUUUCUUGGGGCUUCAUUUAGCCACCAAGAUGCUUUACGUGUUGUUAUUGAAAGGAGUUGGAGUGAAAACAACAACUCAUGUCCAAACAAAAAAUUCAUAUCCUUAAUCAACCAGUACCAAUAAACAAACCCAAACAGCGAUAUAUCCCAAUUUCACACACAAGUAGGUUCCGAAAAGAACAAUAAUAAACUGAAUCAUCAAAUAAAUGAAGUUAUAAUUGGGAGGGUUGUGGGCUUACAGCAGAGUGUCCAAGGAAAGGAGAAAUGAAAGUGACAUUCGAAAUUAAUCAAGAACUCUGACUCUUCCAUCAGGACUGGCCUAGACAAGGUCUGCUACUAGGAAGCCAUCUAAUUAAAUGAACAAAAAAUAAAUAAAAUCAUAUCAGCAAAAUCAUAGGAAAAAAAUCUAGGGAAACAAAAUCAUAUCAACAAAAUCCAGUGAAACAUGACAUACUAUACCUGAAUUAAAGAAUCGAGGAAGAAAAAUAUGUAAGAGGCCAGUUGGGUCAUCAAAUUUCAACCUCUUCGCGGCCCUGAUAUCGCUCAAGCUUCGUUGUAAUUCGUCUUGUCUCACUUUUUCCGGCGUGUCCUCCACAACUUCAAACAAAUCCAGGUAAUUUUCGAUUAUAUAUAUAGACAAAUCUGUUCCGGGGAUCAGUAACGAUGAAGACGAUAUGGUUUCGGAAUCAAAACCACAGGUUGGGGCUGAUUUGUGAUUGCUAUUUUCCAUUACAAUUACAUCUAUUUGAUUGAUGAUAAGCGGGGGAAGUAAACGGAAAAUUUGGGGGCGGAAUUAGGGUUCAUAAUAUCAGCGGAGAAGACGAAGACCGAAGACGAAGAAAGAGAGAGUGAAAUGGGAAGUGAGAGAGUGAAAAGGGUCAAAAGUG